Molecule: ribosomal RNA, 336 nt
Filed under: Streptomyces sp. Loyola Lipase 1
Lineage: Bacteria; Bacillati; Actinomycetota; Actinomycetes; Kitasatosporales; Streptomycetaceae
Description: bacterial SSU rRNA
Rfam family: Bacterial small subunit ribosomal RNA
Source: RNAcentral
ACUCUGGGACAAGCCCUGGAAACGGGGUCUAAUACCGGAUACUGACCUGCCAAGGCAUCUUGGCGGGUCGAAAGCUCCGGCGGUGCAGGAUGAGCCCGCGGCCUAUCAGCUUGUUGGUGAGGUAAUGGCUCACCAAGGCGACGACGGGUAGCCGGCCUGAGAGGGCGACCGGCCACACUGGGACUGAGACACGGCCCAGACUCCUACGGGAGGCAGCAGUGGGGAAUAUUGCACAAUGGGCGAAAGCCUGAUGCAGCGACGCCGCUUGAGGGAUGACGGCCUUCGGGUUGUAAACCUCUUUCAGCAGGGAAGAAGCGAAAGUGACGGUACCUGCAG